This 460-nucleotide ribosomal RNA is filed under the name uncultured bacterium. RNAcentral describes it as "partial 16S ribosomal RNA". It matches the Rfam family "Bacterial small subunit ribosomal RNA", at positions 338 to 795 of the family's 1533-position model. The record is from RNAcentral.
CCUACGGGUGGCUGCAGUGAGGAAUAUUUGUCAAUGGGCGCGAGCCUGAUCCAGCCAAGCCGCGUGAAGGAUGACUGCCCUCCGGGUUGUAAACUUCUUUUAUAAGGGAAUAAAGUGAGGCGCGUGUGCCUUUUUGUAUGUACUUUAUGAAUACGGCUCGGCUAACUCCGUGCCAGCAGCCGCGGUAAUCCGGGGGAUCCGAGCGUUAUCCGGAUGUAUUGGGUGUAAAGGGCGCGUAGGUGGAUUGUUAAGUCAGGUGUGAAAGGGUGCGGCUCAACCGUAAAAUUGCAGUUGAAACUGGCAGUCUUGAGUACAGUAGAGGUAGCCGGAAUUCGUGGUGUAGCGGUGAAAUGCGUAGAUAUCACGAAGAACUCCGAUUGCGAAGGCAGUUCACUGGACUGCAACUGACACUGAGGCACGAAAGUGUGGGUAGCAAACAGGAUUAGAUACCCCAGUAGUC